CUUCUAUUUUUUCCUUCUGUGAUUUCUUGUUUGUUUAUUUCACUGCUUGUUUAUUUCUUGUUUGUAUGUCUUCUACUUGAAGUAAAAUUGCUAGUUGAAACUGCUGGGUUGAUUUUUUUUUUUUUUGGGUGGAUCUGAGUUUGUGGCAUGGGUUUCUCACUGUAUUUUUUUGUGAGUUCCAUUAAUGGUUGGUUUGGGUGCGUGAACAGCUCCUUUGCUGGGAUUUUUUUAUAAAAUUUGCAUGAUUUCAGAGGAUUUUGCAGAAGAGAGGGAGAAAUGAAGAAAAGAGAGGCUGUGACUCCUUCAACGUUGUUUCCCGCCUUCAAUGUUUCUGGAAAAGUGAGGGAAAUGGGAAAGAGGAGAGAGGGAGAGAAAAAAUGUUUUUUUUUUUUUUGCCGACGUGUCAAGUCAGGACCCUAUUUAAUCUCUAAUUUUAUUUGUGACUCACGUUCACUUGCCACAUUUGCGGUAAAGAAGGCAACGGUGCUCACAAUGUGUGGGUUCCGUGCGGUCGGUACACACAUUGACUCACGUUUCCAAGUUUGCUUAAUAGCUUGGGCCUGUUUUUGAGCCCAUGAAAGAAAGUAAGUCCAUAUUCCAUUACUAUAUAAGCAGCGUUUUAGGUCAAAGUGUUUUUUAAUUUUUGUUGAGAGAAAGGAAGCGGCGGCAGCCUAAGAUGUGGAGAAAUGUGUCUGCAUCUUUACCCACCAGAUCUGUGCCUGAUGAAAGGGUUCUGCGGGAGGUCAACAGGAUUGGGAGAUGCAGGAUGCUUGUAGGAUGCUCUAAAUCAGGAGCAGGCUGAUGAAGAUGGCUUAUACUAAAUUAAAGAAAAAAUACUGAUGGGUCUUUGAUAUUUAGGGGCAUUGCUUCUGUCAUUUGAAAAUUGACUAGUUGUUAUUUUUUUUCUUGGUUAAAAUUAUGUCGGUCUAUUAUUAUAAGUUAACAGUUGUUGGAAGCAAGCUGACAAAAAGAAGAAUGAGAAUGGAUGGGUUUGCAUAGAAGAAAUUAUUGUGCUAGUUGAUGAUAAUUGUUUAUAAAAUUGUAAAAUUAUAAAAGUGUUCAUUUCUUUUUUUUCUA
Long non-coding RNA from Quercus lobata, 1077 nucleotides. RefSeq lists it as uncharacterized. The transcript is spliced from 2 exons. NCBI's taxonomy places the organism in Eukaryota, Viridiplantae, Streptophyta, Magnoliopsida, Fagales, Fagaceae. The record is from RefSeq and is a predicted model, not a curated record.